This 336-nucleotide ribosomal RNA is filed under the name Triticum aestivum (bread wheat). RNAcentral describes it as "partial small subunit ribosomal RNA". Lineage: Eukaryota; Viridiplantae; Streptophyta; Magnoliopsida; Poales; Poaceae. The record is from RNAcentral.
AUGGUUAUGCGAUCUCCUGUGUUGCUGCAUGUUGAUCUUCUGUUUUGUUGUAACUCUGUUUUGCUGCUUGAGGGAGAUGGCUUGGCCAGGCCGUCAACACCCAUCGGCAACUUCCGGCAAGCGUCGUCCCAUUCUUCCUCCCCUUACUCUGAUGCCUUGAUGGCCAAAAUCAUUAGCAGGAGCAAGAAGGUUAAGCACCAAUUAUGGUUAAAGCUUUGUCUCUUUUGUGUACUAUGCAUGAUUGAUCUGAUUUUGCUAGUCAGCUUACAAAUUCAAGUAAUACGACUAUUGCAAUGCAUCUUACUAUUAUUUGCAUUGGUAUUUUCUCCUCCUUAG